GUGCCAGCCGCCGCGGUAAUACGGAGGGAGCUAGCGUUGUUCGGAAUUACUGGGCGUAAAGCGCGCGUAGGCGGCUUUUCAAGUCAGGGGUGAAAUCCCGGGGCUCAACCCCGGAACUGCCCUUGAAACUGGAUGGCUAGAAUACUGGAGAGGUGAGUGGAAUUCCGAGUGUAGAGGUGAAAUUCGUAGAUAUUCGGAAGAACACCAGUGGCGAAGGCGACUCACUGGACAGUUAUUGACGCUGAGGUGCGAAAGCGUGGGGAGCAAACAGGAUUAGAUACCCCCGUAGUCC
This 292-nucleotide ribosomal RNA is filed under the name uncultured bacterium. RNAcentral's name for it is "partial 16S ribosomal RNA". It matches the Rfam family "Bacterial small subunit ribosomal RNA", at positions 505 to 796 of the family's 1533-position model. The record is from RNAcentral.